GGUAAACUUUUGAGAUUGGAACUCGUUUUAUUUUUUUGGGCUGAGCAGAAUAAUACACUUAAAUAUUGAAAAUAUUCAUUGGUGUACGCCGGACUCGAACCCGGUCCAAUGCUUUGGUAAGCAAGGGCCGGAUCCGAUAGAGCUACUGCGCGCCUAAAUUUUAUUUAAAUAAUUUUUUAUUUCAAAAAAUUUUAUAAAUUUCAAG
Cotesia glomerata is the source of this 205-nucleotide long non-coding RNA. RefSeq lists it as uncharacterized. The transcript is spliced from 3 exons. The record is from RefSeq and is a predicted model, not a curated record. Lineage: Eukaryota; Metazoa; Arthropoda; Insecta; Hymenoptera; Braconidae.